Molecule: transfer RNA, 78 nt
Filed under: candidate division WS2 bacterium ADurb.Bin280
Lineage: Bacteria
Description: tRNA-Asp
Rfam family: tRNA
About the family: Transfer RNA (tRNA) molecules are approximately 80 nucleotides in length. Their secondary structure includes four short double-helical elements and three loops (D, anti-codon, and T loops). Further hydrogen bonds mediate the characteristic L-shaped molecular structure. tRNAs have two regions of fundamental functional importance: the anti-codon, which is responsible for specific mRNA codon recognition, and the 3' end, to which the tRNAs corresponding amino acid is attached (by aminoacyl-tRNA synthetases). tRNAs cope with the degeneracy of the genetic code in two manners: having more than one tRNA (with a specific anti-codon) for a particular amino acid; and 'wobble' base-pairing, i.e. permitting non-standard base-pairing at the 3rd anti-codon position.
Source: RNAcentral
GGGGUCGUAGCUUAGCUGAUUUAAAGCGCCACUCUGUCACAGUGGAGAUCGCGGGUUUGAAUCCCGUCGACCCCGCCA